GAUACUACCCUAGCUGUGUUGGCUUUCUAACCCGCACCACUUAUCGUGGUGGGAGACAGUGUCAGGCGGGCAGUUUGACUGGGGCGGUCGCCUCCUAAAAGGUAACGGAGGCGCUCAAAGGUUCCCUCAUAAUGGUUGGAAAUCAUUCAUACAGUGUAAAGGCAUAAGGUAGCUUGACUGCGAGACCUACCAGUCGAGCA
RNAcentral lists this ribosomal RNA (200 nucleotides) under Staphylococcus haemolyticus. RNAcentral's name for it is "partial 23S rRNA". It matches the Rfam family "Bacterial large subunit ribosomal RNA", at positions 2196 to 2395 of the family's 2925-position model. Lineage: Bacteria; Bacillati; Bacillota; Bacilli; Caryophanales; Staphylococcaceae. The record is from RNAcentral.